This 61-nucleotide transfer RNA is filed under the name Ictidomys tridecemlineatus (thirteen-lined ground squirrel). RNAcentral describes it as "Spermophilus tridecemlineatus (thirteen-lined ground squirrel) tRNA". It matches the Rfam family "tRNA", at positions 6 to 65 of the family's 71-position model. From Rfam's summary of the family: Transfer RNA (tRNA) molecules are approximately 80 nucleotides in length. Their secondary structure includes four short double-helical elements and three loops (D, anti-codon, and T loops). The record is from Rfam by way of RNAcentral. Lineage: Eukaryota; Metazoa; Chordata; Mammalia; Rodentia; Sciuridae.
UGUGGCUCAGUGGUAGAGCACUUGCCUAGCAUGUUAGAAGCCCUGGGUUCAAUCCUCAGCA